GAGUCUUUAUCGAAUGCCUGUAAAAUGUUCCAGGCAGGGUUCUAGACACUGGGAAUGAAGGGGUGAACGAAACAGACAACAAUUCCAAAAAUCCCUGCCUUUGAUCUAGGGGAGACAGGGGUCGAACAAGAAAUAAAAUUAGUAAGAUGUAGUAUGCUAGAUGACGGCAAAGACUAUGGCAAAAAUUCAGCAGGAAGAGGGUGGGUAGGAAGCUCUGGGGGUGGGGUGGAAGAGAUUUCCUUUUUAAGCAGAUUAGUCAAGAAAGGCCUACCUGAGAAGGUGAUGUUUGAACAAAGACUCUAAGGAGGAGGGAAGGUAAGCCCUGGGGAAGUGCAAAGGCCCUGAAGUGGAUGCAUAUCUGGUGCGUUCAAGUCACAACAAGGAGGCCAGGGUGACUGGGAUGAGCUCAGAGAGCUAAAGGCCGCAGUGGGGCUGAUGGUGUAGAAGCCCCACGUAAAGAUUGCUGUAAAUUAUGCCUGGCUGCACAGGAUUAUCUCAGGGAGGAGCCAAGAUUGAAAGACGUGUGAUUUUCAGGUGUGGAGGAGGAGCCAAGUUGUAACUCCAGCCUGAGAGAGAGGGGGUGUCUAGGAGCGGGUCAUGGCUCAUGCAGUGAACACCGUCGACACCUACCAUGUGCCAGGCACUGUGCAGGAAGGUGGGCUUUACCGGAGUGAACUUAGGAAGCAUCCAGGCUGAGAGAGAACUGGAUGUUCUCUGGAGCCUGCAUUUCGUUUCUCUGGCUGUUGCUGAGAAAAGGAGGGACCCAGCUCUGCACCUGGCCACUGCAAACCCCAUAAAGUUCAUGGUAUGACUCUUCCAUGGACCAUAACCUCCUCCCAUCCCUAAUCUGGCCCAGGCAGGACUGAGUUGGAGGAUGCUGGAUCUGCCAGGAGAGGAGAAAGGGGAGGGGAAGAUUGUUUCAGGCUGUUAAUAGUCUCGAAAGAAAGCCCGAAGACAAGA
Long non-coding RNA from Herpailurus yagouaroundi (jaguarundi), 960 nucleotides. RefSeq lists it as uncharacterized. The record is from RefSeq and is a predicted model, not a curated record. NCBI's taxonomy places the organism in Eukaryota, Metazoa, Chordata, Mammalia, Carnivora, Felidae. The transcript is spliced from 3 exons.